AUGCAGGAUGACCCUUGUCCUGGACCCUCGGGCUGUGGUAAAAGAACCCUUUUGCUGGCAUUUUCUCUCAAGGCACUAUUGACCAUUCUGGGCUCCUCGCAAAUAUUGAAAGCAAAAGAAGAGUCACUAAGUCGAAAAGAUAUUAUGGACAUGAUAAAUAAAUGGUUUGUUGCUUGUGAUGAAGAGGCUUUGCUUGAAGAAUAUAACCAGGACUCGAAGAGGUAUAGUUCUGGAAGGGAUGCUCAUGUAAACCUUAAAAGAGCAGAAAAGGCAUGGAUUUUGGUCACUAAAAUUCCAAGUAGGUUUUAG
RNAcentral lists this ribosomal RNA (309 nucleotides) under Triticum aestivum (bread wheat). Its description in RNAcentral is "partial small subunit ribosomal RNA". The record is from RNAcentral. Lineage: Eukaryota; Viridiplantae; Streptophyta; Magnoliopsida; Poales; Poaceae.